Molecule: ribosomal RNA, 255 nt
Filed under: uncultured bacterium
Lineage: Bacteria
Description: partial 16S ribosomal RNA
Rfam family: Bacterial small subunit ribosomal RNA
Source: RNAcentral
UACGGUAGGGGGCUAGCGUUGUCCGGAAUCAUUGGGCGUAAAGCGCGUGUAGGCGGUCCGGUAAGUCCGCUGUGAAAGUCGGGGGGCUCAACCCUCGGAUGCCGGUGGAUACUGUCGGGCUUGAGUACGGAAGAGGCGAGUGGAAUUCCUGGUGUAGCGGUGAAAUGCGCAGAUAUCAGGAGGAACACCGAUGGCGAAGGCAGCUCGCUGGGACGGUACUGACGCUGAGGCGCGAAAGCGUGGGGAGCGAACAGG